AAAUUGAAGAGUUUGAUCAUGGCUCAGAUUGAACGCUGGCGGCAGGCCUAACACAUGCAAGUCGAACGGUAACAGGAAACAGCUUGCUGUUUCGCUGACGAGUGGCGGACGGGUGAGUAAUGUCUGGGAAACUGCCUGAUGGAGGGGGAUAACUACUGGAAACGGUAGCUAAUACCGCAUAAUGUCGCAAGACUAAAGAGGGGGACCUUCGGGCCUCUUGCCAUCGGAUGUGCCCAGAUGGGAUUAGCUAGUAGGUGGGGUAACGGCUCACCUAGGCGACGAUCCCUAGCUGGUCUGAGAGGAUGACCAGCCACACUGGAACUGAGACACGGUCCAGACUCCUACGGGAGGCAGCAGUGGGGAAUAUUGCACAAUGGGCGCAAGCCUGAUGCAGCCAUGCCGCGUGUAUGAAGAAGGCCUUCGGGUUGUAAAGUACUUUCAGCGGGGAGGAAGGGAGUAAAGUUAAUACCUUU
This 473-nucleotide ribosomal RNA is filed under the name Escherichia coli. RNAcentral describes it as "bacterial SSU rRNA". It matches the Rfam family "Bacterial small subunit ribosomal RNA", at positions 1 to 470 of the family's 1533-position model. RNAcentral also lists the same sequence under 2 other names. Lineage: Bacteria; Pseudomonadati; Pseudomonadota; Gammaproteobacteria; Enterobacterales; Enterobacteriaceae. The record is from RNAcentral.